AUAUGCUUUAGCCGAGAAUUCCUAAAUGAGUUGAUUAUCAUUAGGAUAUGGCUUAUAUGUAUGAUAUAUGAUGACAUGUGUGUUGAGAAUUGUUUACUUGAAUGAUUAUAUGUUUUGAGUGUUGUUUAGUCUACGUAGAGUAGUAUACUCUCGAGACUUAUGGAAUGUGUUAUGAUUGAGUAAAUCAUAAAUAAAUUGGGUUUCUUUGAACCUAAUUUUCAUGUAUUGAUGAUGGCUAUAAUUUGAUUAUGUGCAUGUAAUGUGAUUGAUUGUUAUGUGCAUGCAAUGGAAUAGUGUAUAUGAAACGUAUAGAACAUGUGAGUUAUAGCCAGAUAUGACAUAGACGAAUGAAAUUGUUAUUAGAGCCUAAUACGUAAAGUAAGAAUGAGACGCGACUACGUAUACGAUAAAGACUUUGCGAACAUGAUACGUAUAUCAUGUUAUUAAGAACGCGUUUAGAUUUCUUUGUGCUUUAGAAUGGCUGAGCAAAGAAAUACGCGAGCGCGUGCAAGCGCACAACGAUUAAACGAGACUUUAGGAAAAGCCUUAGAUAAUGAAUGUGUACCAGUUCAACCGGCGGAUAGAGGCCGUGGACAAGGUAGAGGUCGAAAAGGACCUAGAGUAUAUCAAGCUGGGAAUGUGCAGGCACUGGGAAUGCCGCAACAACCCAAUAUUGAUAUAAAUCAUUUGGUAACAUAAGUUACUGAUUUGUGGAGUUGUGUGUUAAUAAUGGGGCAGUGGAUGCAACACCAGCAUCAACGAGAAGAGAGAAAUUUUGAUAGAGAUCUUGUGUUAGCAUACGUAAAACUGAACCCAAAGGAUUUUGAUGGAUCAAGUGAUGCGUUAGACUUUUUGGAAGAAGUCGAGCAAAAUGCUCAUAGACUUCAAGCUAACGAAAGACAGACAAUAUUGUUAAUGGAGAUGUCGAUGAAAGGUCCAGUCAAGGAUUGGUUUCGACAAGUAAUUGGACCAAUAAUGGGUCAUAUAACAUGGGCAUAGUUUGUGACCCGAUAUAAGGAUUUCUUCUUACCGUUUGCGGUAAUCGAAGGUAACCGGGACAAACUGUUAUCGUUAACUCGAGGUAACAGAUCUGUUCAGGAAUAUGUUACCGAGUUUAAUCGAUUGAGCAGAUUUGCUCCAGACUUGAUGACAGAUCGAGUCGGAGUAAACCCCAUGUUUGUGAAGGGAUUAUGACCUCAGUUUAUAGGACUGUUGAGUCAGAGAGACAGGAGUUUUGUGCAAGUUGUCGACGGUGUAAGACAACUGGAAAGGGCAUUAAUCCAAUUUGGUAAAAUUCCUGACCCCUCACAACUGAAUGAAGUUAGAGAUGAAUGUUUUGGCUAUGGAAACCAAACUUCAAGGCAAAUAAGAGAAUAGACGAUAAAAAUCUUUUGGAAUAAGUGAUUUUGCAGAGCCCUAUGUCUAUAGAAACUUACGAUGGCGCCAUUUUUAUAAAAACAAAUGUGUUUAAUGAAAAAGGAAUGUUUUAUGAACACAUGAUUGUGCCCGGAGACGAUUUAUGCCGGCAUUGCAUUGGCACGAAUAGAAUUGCAUCACUACAUUCAUAUUAUGUUCACUAUUAGGACAUGCAUCAUGUACAUUAUGUAUGUAAAAAAAAAAAAGAGGAAUGUCAUUGCAACUCUUGGUGAUGAGAGAAGUCAUCACACCGGUGCACAAUUAUGGCAUGAUUUUAUAAGUGAAAAAAAAAAGUGAUUUUGAACAGGAUAAGUUUUUAACAUAAGUACGCUGAGACAUUGGCUCUGUAAUGUAAAUAAAGGAAUAGGACAAGGAAAAUAUACCUUGUAAGGCCUAAAUAAGGAGAUAUAUUUAUAGAGUAAUGAACAAUAUGGUAUGAAAUAUUCUGAGACUUAAAUGGAAAAGUCUCCAAAGAAGUAUUGAUGAUGUAGGAAAGAAAAUGUUGGAGUGUAAGUGAUAUUAUAAUUCGAGGACGAAUUAUUUUAAGGAGGGGAGAAUGUAAUAACCCGAAUUUUUGGAGUUAUUAAAGUAAGCUAUAUGUCGUAAUUUGGACGAUCGGGAUUAUAAGAAGUGAUAUUUAAAUUCAAAUGGAGAAUUUAAAUAUUUAGAUAAGCCCAUAAAAAUAUUGGAAUCAUAAGAAUUUAUUAUGGAAAUUUUUGGAUAAGUAUAAUAAUAUGACAAUUUUGGAAUGACGAAUUUCCAAAAUUCAUAUCUUCCUAUUCCGACAUCAGAAUUCGAUGAUCUAUAUGUCAAAUCGAAGCUAUCGACGUCCUCUUCAAUUUUAUAAAUUUUAUUUUAUAAAAUUUGAAUGAGAAACAGUGCAGAAAUUUAAAGAACAAUGCAGCUCAAAUCGAACCGCUGGGUUCGUCAGGAUUUAGGUAACUAGGACUAAGGAAACGUAUUAUUUAAGUUCAAAUUGAUAAUUUAAAUAAUCGAGGAAGCUUAUUAAUAUAUUUGGAGUCCAAGGAAUAAAUUUGAGAAUUUUUGGACGAAAAAGUAUAUUUUAGCCGGACUGCAAUUGGACUGCAGAAUUAAUAAAAAAAAAUUAAUUAUAAAAUAAAAUAGACGUCCCGAGAUAAUAAUUUGGAAGUUAUUAUUCAUGAAAUAAUAUUUGGAAAUGUUUGAGAGAAUUAAAUAUCGAAAAUGAUAAAAGUCAAUUUUACCCUAAACUUCGAUUUAUUUACGAAAUUGCCACAAGGGCAAACUUGUAAUUUUGCCUAGACUAAUAAAUAUCCUAAGUCUUCUUCCCCACUUCAUUUCCAGCAAAUUUCUUUUACCUCCAUUGUUGAAUGCUCUCAACUCACCAUUUACCCUUAGCUAUAUUAUUCAUUUGUCAUUUCUCAAUAAUUCCUUAACGAAAAACGUUGGAAAUCACCCGCUAAUUACUAAUCUACAAUUGCAUGUAGGAUCAAGAUUCGACAAGUUGUCGAGCUAUCGAGUCGGAGGACCAAGGAAAUUAACGGAGUUGUUUAAAGGAGCAUUGACGGAGUAAUACCGUAGUUAAACGGUUUCUGAAAGCUGGUCCGAUUUUGAUGAAGGCUUCCGAACGUUUAUUUCUCGGAAGUCUACUUUGAUAAAAGACUGUAAAUAAGGUUUUAAGUUCUAGUUGUCCGCAGUAGACUAGUAUAGUCUUAUUGUAUUUAAAUGUUUUAAAGCACAUUUAAAACUCUGAUGUUUUAUCUCAUCAGUUAUUUAAUAAAUGUGUCAUACGUCUCUUUUAAAAGCGAAAAAUUUAUAGUGUUUUUCAGGCUUGCUACGGGUUUCGGAGCAACCACUCUCAUUCCCUAGCGCCGGUCUCGACUCGAGAUUUCGGGUCGUGACAAAGGUGGUAUCAGAGCAGUUGGUCCAGUUACCUCUGCUAAUAUGUGAAUUGAGUGCAGUUGGUCAGAGAUACCACUGCUAGUCUGUGUAGAUGUUGUGUGAACCUAGGAGUAAUGUACAAUGUCACUAAGUUAAGUUAGGAACUAUUGCGGAUUAUAGGAUUUCCAGUCAUGUCUUUUAAACGUUUUCAUCGUUUUCAUCGGUUUUUCAAAUGAUUUUCAAAACGUCCUGUCCUAUGUGUGGUGUCAGGAUAUGAGUUAGAUGUGUGUGUUAGCACAAUAUAUGUUUGUGGUUACUCGAGUAAGCAUUACGCUUUCGAGUAUAUAGUCUGCAAGGAGUUGUAUACUCUCGAGACUCAUAUUAUCUAUGAAAUGUGUGUUUAUUAUGAGUAUGAUUGAUUGAUUGAUGUGGUAUGUUUAUAGCGUAAUCACUGAAAGAAGUGAUAUGUUUUCGAAUGUGAUAAACUCUGCGUAGAGAGAUAUACUCACGAGACUUGUGUUAUAUGCUUUAGCCGAGAAUUCCUAAAUGAGUUGAUUAUCAUUAGGAUAUGGCUUAUAUGUAUGAUAUAUGAUGACAUGUGUGUUGAGAAUUGUUUACUUGAAUGAUUAUAUGUUUUGAGUGUUGUUUAGUCUACGUAGAGUAGUAUACUCUCGAGACUUAUGGAAUGUGUUAUGAUUGAGUAAAUCAUAAAUAAAUUGGGUUUCUUUGAACCUAAUUUUCAUGUAUUGAUGAUGGCUAUAAUUUGAUUAUGUGCAUGUAAUGUGAUUGAUUGUUAUGUGCAUGCAAUGGAAUAGUGCAUAUGAAACGUAUAGAACAUGUGAGUUAUAGCCAGAUAUGACAUAGACGAAUGAAAUUGUUAUUAGAGCCUAAUACGUAAAGUAAGAAUGAGACGCGACUACGUAUACGAUAAAGACUUUGCGAACAUGAUACGUAUAUCAUGUUAUUAAGAACGCGUUUAGAUUUCUUUGUGCUUUAGAAUGGCUGAGCAAAGAAAUACGCGAGCGCGUGCAAGCGCACAACGAUUAAACGAGACUUUAGGAAAAGCCUUAGAUAAUGAAUGUGUACCAGUUCAACCGGCGGAUAGAGGCCGUGGACAAGGUAGAGGUCGAAAAGGACCUAGAGUAUAUCAAGCUGGGAAUGUGCGGGCACUGGGAAUGCCGCAACAACCCAAUAUUGAUAUAAAUCAUUUGGUAACAUAAGUUACUGAUUUGUGGAGUUGUGUGUUAAUAAUGGGGCAGUGGAUGCAACACCAGCAUCAACGAGAAGAGAGAAAUUUUGAUAGAGAUCUUGUGUUAGCAUACGUAAAACUGAACCCAAAGGAUUUUGAUGGAUCAAGUGAUGCGUUAGACUUUUUGGAAGAAGUCGAGCAAAAUGCUCAUAGACUUCAAGCUAACGAAAGACAGACAAUAUUGUUAAUGGAGAUGUCGAUGAAAGGUCCAGUCAAGGAUUGGUUUCGACAAGUAAUUGGACCAAUAAUGGGUCAUAUAACAUGGGCAUAGUUUGUGACCCGAUAUAAGGAUUUCUUCUUACCGUUUGCGGUAAUCGAAGGUAACCGGGACAAACUGUUAUCGUUAACUCGAGGUAACAGAUCUGUUCAGGAAUAUGUUACCGAGUUUAAUCGAUUGAGCAGAUUUGCUCCAGACUUGAUGACAGAUCGAGUCGGAGUAAACCCCAUGUUUGUGAAGGGAUUAUGACCUCAGUUUAUAGGACUGUUGAGUCAGAGAGACAGGAGUUUUGUGCAAGUUGUCGACGGUGUAAGACAACUGGAAAGGGCAUUAAUCCAAUUUGGUAAAAUUCCUGACCCCUCACAACUGAAUGAAGUUAGAGAUGAAUGUUUUGGCUAUGGAAACCAAACUUCAAGGCAAAUAAGAGAAUAGACGAUAAAAAUCUUUUGGAAUAAGUGAUUUUGCAGAGCCCUAUGUCUAUAGAAACUUACGAUGGCGCCAUUUUUAUAAAAACAAAUGUGUUUAAUGAAAAAGGAAUGUUUUAUGAACACAUGAUUGUGCCCGGAGACGAUUUAUGCCGGCAUUGCAUUGGCACGAAUAGAAUUGCAUCACUACAUUCAUAUUAUGUUCACUAUUAGGACAUGCAUCAUGUACAUUAUGUAUGUAAAAAAAAAAAAAGAGGAAUGUCAUUGCAACUCUUGGUGAUGAGAGAAGUCAUCACACCGGUGCACAAUUAUGGCAUGAUUUUAUAAGUGAAAAAAAAAGUGAUUUUGAACAGGAUAAGUUUUUAACAUAAGUACGCUGAGACAUUGGCUCUGUAAUGUAAAUAAAGGAAUAGGACAAGGAAAAUAUACCUUGUAAGGCCUAAAUAAGGAGAUAUAUUUAUAGAGUAAUGAACAAUAUGGUAUGAAAUAUUCUGAGACUUAAAUGGAAAAGUCUCCAAAGAAGUAUUGAUGAUGUAGGAAAGAAAAUGUUGGAGUGUAAGUGAUAUUAUAAUUCGAGGACGAAUUAUUUUAAGGAGGGGAGAAUGUAAUAACCCGAAUUUUUGGAGUUAUUAAAGUAAGCUAUAUGUCGUAAUUUGGACGAUCGGGAUUAUAAGAAGUGAUAUUUAAAUUCAAAUGGAGAAUUUAAAUAUUUAGAUAAGCCCAUAAAAAUAUUGGAAUCAUAAGAAUUUAUUAUGGAAAUUUUUGGAUAAGUAUAAUAAUAUGACAAUUUUGGAAUGACGAAUUUCCAAAAUUCAUAUCUUCCUAUUCCGACAUCAGAAUUCGAUGAUCUAUAUGUCAAAUCGAAGCUAUCGACGUCCUCUUCAAUUUUAUAAAUUUUAUUUUAUAAAAUUUGAAUGAGAAACAGUGCAGAAAUUUAAAGAACAAUGCAGCUCAAAUCGAACCGCUGGGUUCGUCAGGAUUUAGGUAACUAGGACUAAGGAAACGUAUUAUUUAAGUUCAAAUUGAUAAUUUAAAUAAUCGAGGAAGCUUAUUAAUAUAUUUGGAGUCCAAGGAAUAAAUUUGAGAAUUUUUGGACGAAAAAGUAUAUUUUAGCCGGACUGCAAUUGGACUGCAGAAUUAAUAAAAAAAAAUUAAUUAUAAAAUAAAAUAGACGUCCCGAGAUAAUAAUUUGGAAGUUAUUAUUCAUGAAAUAAUAUUUGGAAAUGUUUGAGAGAAUUAAAUAUCGAAAAUGAUAAAAGUCAAUUUUACCCUAAACUUCGAUUUAUUUACGAAAUUGCCACAAGGGCAAACUUGUAAUUUUGCCUAGACUAAUAAAUAUCCUAAGUCUUCUUCCCCACUUCAUUUCCAGCAAAUUUCUUUUACCUCCAUUGUUGAAUGCUCUCAACUCACCAUUUACCCUUAGCUAUAUUAUUCAUUUGUCAUUUCUCAAUAAUUCCUUAACGAAAAACGUUGGAAAUCACCCGCUAAUUACUAAUCUACAAUUGCAUGUAGGAUCAAGGAAAGCUGGUCCGAUUUUGAUGAAGGCUUCCGAACGUUUAUUUCUCGGAAGUCUACUUUGAUAAAAGACUGUAAAGAAGGUUUUAAGUUCUAGUUGUCCGCAGUAGACUAGUAUAGUCUUAUUGUAUUUAAAUGUUUUAAAGCACAUUUAAAACUCUGAUGUUUUAUCUCAUCAGUAUUUUAAUAAAUGUGUCAUACGUCUCUUUUAAAAGCGAAAAAUUUAUAGUGUUUUUCAGGCUUGCUACGGGUUUCGGAGCAACCACUCCCAUUCCCUAGCGCCGGUCUCGACUCGAGAUUUCGGGUCGUGACAAAAUUCCACAAAAAUUCCCGUUUAUGCUAACGUUUUGUCGAUGAUGGUGAGGCUGAGUCAUGGAAAUCUAUGGAGGGUCUUCUUUACAGCCCAACAAAUUACGUUCCUUUGUCUCCUAUAAAUUUCCUACAGAACAACGAAGAUUUACAUCAAUCUCAACGUUUCUACUUAUUUUGCUUUUUUUUUUGUGAUGGUAUAGAUAAGAAAUGAAUUUUCUUUUCUGGAUAGUUGAUUAUCAAGUCAAAAGAUGAGUAAUUGUGGUAAUUGUUUCAUCUAGUUUGUUUUAGCUUUAGUUGUUUUGAUUUUGGAAUUAUGUGAAUUUUCGGCUCAAUGAUUACGAGGUCUUGUUUAGAUAGGAAUCCAAAUUGUAAAGGUUGCCUUUUGAACAGUAAUGGAUCUACAGUUCUGCUCACUAAAUGCAUGAAGAUCCCAAUUUGGCCACAUGUUUGACAUUCAAAUACCGAAGUUGUAUAUAUGCAAAACAAUAUAAAUUUUAAGUGUUGAUUUAUAAAUUUUUAUAUUAAUUGAA
This is a long non-coding RNA of Mercurialis annua (annual mercury), 7524 nucleotides long. RefSeq lists it as uncharacterized. The transcript is spliced from 4 exons. The record is from RefSeq and is a predicted model, not a curated record. NCBI's taxonomy places the organism in Eukaryota, Viridiplantae, Streptophyta, Magnoliopsida, Malpighiales, Euphorbiaceae.